AACGACCGGCCAGGUACUCCCAUGUGCCCGGCCCACAAGUGGAGGCUCCGAUCUCCCACCUGACUGCCCUCCGGGGCGGCGGGUCAUCCGGUCAGACGGUAGCCAUCGUUCCGUACGGACGAUGGAGCCGUCCGAUGUGCGCCCCGCGGUUGACCGCGGCGGUGUUCCGGUUGUUCAUGGAGCCCCGCCUGUGUCCCGUCCGGGGCAUUUUUC
This 213-nucleotide non-coding RNA is filed under the name Streptomyces sp. ERV7. RNAcentral's name for it is "Streptomyces RNA 1601". It matches the Rfam family "Streptomyces RNA 1601". From Rfam's summary of the family: Identified by deep sequencing of transcriptome at the end of exponential growth phase. The record is from Rfam by way of RNAcentral. Lineage: Bacteria; Bacillati; Actinomycetota; Actinomycetes; Kitasatosporales; Streptomycetaceae.